AUUGAACGCUGGCGGCAGGCCUAACACAUGCAAGUCGAGCGGAGCGGCGGACGGGUGAGUAAUGCCUAUGAAUCUGCCUGGUCGUGGGGGAUAACGUCCGACAACGGGCGCUAAUACCGCAUACUAUCAAUUGAGCCUAGGUCGGUGUGGCUAGUUGGUGGGGUAAAGGCCUACCAAGGCGACGAUACGUAGCUGGUAUUAGAGGAUGAUCAGCCACACUGGAACUGAUACACGGUCCAGACGCCCACGGGAGGCAGCAGUGGGGAAUAUUGGACAAUGGGCGAAAGCCGGAUCCAGCCAUGCCGCGUGGGUGAAGAAGGUCUUCGGAUUUUAAAGCACUUUAAGUUGGGAGGCGUUACCAACAGAAGAAGCACCGGCUAACUCCGUGCCAGCCGCCGCGGUAAUUC
RNAcentral lists this ribosomal RNA (407 nucleotides) under uncultured bacterium. RNAcentral's name for it is "partial 16S ribosomal RNA". It matches the Rfam family "Bacterial small subunit ribosomal RNA", at positions 30 to 526 of the family's 1533-position model. The record is from RNAcentral.